UUUUCUACAACUUCAUAUGAGACUUGAGCUUUUUUCAUGUAUUUUUUUAUGGUUAUGGGUUAUAUAAUACAUGAAACCAUCUCGCAUAUAACGUAUGAAAGGUAUAGGUUAUGGUUAUGGUUUUUGGCUAUGGAUUGUUUUUCUCUUCUUUUUCACAUCUUCAUAAUAAAGAUGCAAUCAAGGUUAUGGGUUGUUGAUUUCAUGGUUUCUUCUUUUUCUUCGUCUUCAUCAUCUUCUUCCAUCUUCACAUAUCUGAACCUUAGCGCUCUGAUGCCACUGAUA
Molecule: long non-coding RNA, 282 nt
Filed under: Trifolium pratense (red clover)
Lineage: Eukaryota; Viridiplantae; Streptophyta; Magnoliopsida; Fabales; Fabaceae
Description: long non-coding RNA (TPRA_LNC004266)
Source: RNAcentral